This 1349-nucleotide ribosomal RNA is filed under the name metagenome. Its description in RNAcentral is "bacterial LSU rRNA". It matches the Rfam family "Bacterial large subunit ribosomal RNA", at positions 1564 to 2925 of the family's 2925-position model. The record is from RNAcentral.
UGAGUACGAGCUGCUACGGCAGCGAAGUGGGUGAUGUCAAGCUUCCAAGAAAAGCCCUAUACCCGUUAAGGCAUGAUGGCCUGUACCCGAAACCGACACAGGUGGGGUGGUAGAGAAUACCGAGGGGCGCGAGGUAACUCUCUCUAAGGAACUCGGCAAAAUGGCCCCGUAACUUCGGGAGAAGGGGUGCCACCGCAAGGUGGUCGCAGUGAAGAGGCCCAGGCGACUGUUUACCAAAAACACAGGUCUCCGCUAAGUCGCAAGACGAUGUAUGGGGGCUGACGCCUGCCCAGUGCCGGAAGGUUAAGGAAGCUGGUCAGCGCAAGCGAAGCUGGCGACUGAAGCCCCGGUGAACGGCGGCCGUAACUAUAACGGUCCUAAGGUAGCGAAAUUCCUUGUCGGGUAAGUUCCGACCCGCACGAAAGGCGUAACGAUCUGGGCGCUGUCUCGGAGAGAGGCUCGGCGAAAUAGAAUUGUCUGUGAAGAUGCGGACUACGUGCACCCGGACAGAAAGACCCUAUGAAGCUUUACUGUAGCUUGGUAUUGUGCCCGGGCUCUGAAUGCGCAGGAUAGGUGGGAGGCUUUGAUCCAUUGCUUGUGGGUGAUGGUGAGCCACUGGUGAGAUACCACUCUUUCAGAGCUAGGGUUCUAACGGUCACCCGUUAUCCGGGGACCGGACAGUAUCAGGUGGGCAGUUUGACUGGGGCGGUCGCCUCCUAAAAGGUAACGGAGGCGCGCAGAGGUUCCCUCAGGCUGGUUGGAAAUCAGCCGACGAGUGUAAAGGCAGAAGGGAGCUUGACUGUGAGACCUACAAGUCGAACAGGGACGAAAGUCGGCCUUAGUGAUCCGACGGUUCUGAGUGGAAGGGCCGUCGCUCAACGGAUAAAAGUUACUCUAAGGAUAACAGGCUGAUCUCCCCCAAGAGUUCACAUCGACGGGGAGGUUUGGCACCUCGAUGUCGGCUCAUCGCAACCUGGGGCUGAAGUCGGUCCCAAGGGUUGGGCUGUUCGCCCAUUAAAGCGGUACGCGAGCUGGGUUCAGAACGUCGUGAGACAGUUCGGUCCAUAUCCGGUGCACGCGCAGGAACAUUGAGAGGAAUUCUCCCUAGUACGAGAGGACCGGGAGGAACGCACCUCUGGUGUACCAGUUAUCGUGCCAACGGUAAACGCUGGGUAGCCAUGUGCGGAGUGGAUAACCGCUGAAAGCAUCUAAGUGGGAAGCCCACCUCAAGAUGAGUGUUCCCAUGGCAUAAGCCAGUAAGGUCACGGGAAGAACACCCGUUGAUAGGCUCUACGUGGAAGCGUGGCAACACGUGAAGCGGAGGAGUACUAAUAGACCGAGGGCUUGAC